GGUUAUCCUCUCGUUCUAAUCCACAAAGAGCAGUUGUCUUGUUUCCCGUCACUGGAGUGAGAGGGGGGACUUUCAAGACAUCUCCAACAGACAGGAUGAUGGGAAACUUGAUAACAGGGUUUCUCUGUGUAGCCCUGCCUGUCCUGGAACUUACUCUGUUGACCAGGCUGUUCUGGAACUCAGACAUUCCCCUACUUCUGUCUCCUGAGAGCUGAGGUUAAAGGCAUGAACCCCCACACCUGGCUUAUCAUCUGUCUUCUCAACAAGAGACUUCCCACAGAGAAGGGAUUCCAAACCUGGGUUCACAAAGAGAUGCUGAGAUCUAUGUACCCUUUGAGUUGUACAAAAAGGGGCAGGGAGCACAUUUCAGUAGAGAGCCUGCAGACUCUCAUCCAGCCCCGAAAUGAGCGUCCCCCUAAAACCCUAGUCCGGGGCUGAGGUAGAAAGAUUGAGAGCUGGAGACUGGACUGGGUUACAUAACAAGAACCAAUCUAAAAGAAAGAAAAGAGUGUUUCCCCCAAUGCUAAAAGCCGCUCAUGGCACCUUGCCACUCCUCUUCCCUUUCAGCUAAAAAAGCCCAAGAACCUCUAAAGGCAGGCAGCUUGGCUUGAGACAGGUUGGGAGCAGAGGCCAAAAGAAGGCAUUAGAUGCUCUGGAACUGGAGUCACAGAUGGUGAGCUACCAGGUGGGCGCUGGGAAUCCAAGCUGGGUCCUCUAGAUCUAGCCAGUAUGAUCUUACCUGCUGA
RNAcentral lists this long non-coding RNA (746 nucleotides) under Mus pahari (shrew mouse). RNAcentral describes it as "predicted gene 11961 (MGP_PahariEiJ_G0002431.1)". Lineage: Eukaryota; Metazoa; Chordata; Mammalia; Rodentia; Muridae. The record is from RNAcentral.